Molecule: ribosomal RNA, 498 nt
Filed under: uncultured bacterium
Lineage: Bacteria
Description: partial 16S ribosomal RNA
Rfam family: Bacterial small subunit ribosomal RNA
Source: RNAcentral
GACGAACGCUGGCGGCGUGCCUAAUACAUGCAAGUCGAACGAGAGCGACCGGUGCUUGCACUGGUCAAUCUAGUGGCGAACGGGUGAGUAACACGUGGGUAACCUGCUCAUCAGAGGGGGAUAACAUCCGGAAACGGAUGCUAAAACCGCAUAGGUCUUCGAGCCGCAUGGCUUGAAGAGGAAAAGAGGCGCAAGCUUCUGCUGAUGGAUGGACCCGCGGUGCAUUAGCUAGUUGGUGAGGUAACGGCUCACCAAGGCCGUGAUGCAUAGCCGACCUGAGAGGGUGAUCGGCCACAUUGGGACUGAGACACGGCCCAAACUCCUACGGGAGGCAGCAGUAGGGAAUCUUCCGCAAUGGACGCAAGUCUGACGGAGCAACGCCGCGUGAGUGAAGAAGGUUUUCGGAUCGUAAAACUCUGUUGUUAGAGAAGAACAAGCGCUAGAGUAACUGUUAGCGCCUUGACGGUAUCUAACCAGAAAGCCACGGCUAACUACGUG